RNAcentral lists this ribosomal RNA (427 nucleotides) under uncultured bacterium. RNAcentral's name for it is "bacterial SSU rRNA". It matches the Rfam family "Bacterial small subunit ribosomal RNA", at positions 355 to 774 of the family's 1533-position model. The record is from RNAcentral. RNAcentral also lists the same sequence under 1 other name.
UGGGGAAUUUUGGACAAUGGGCGAAAGCCUGAUCCAGCAAUGCCGCGUGCAGGAUGAAGGCCUUCGGGUUGUAAACUGCUUUUGUACGGAACGAAAAGGCUCUGGCUAAUACCUGGGGCACAUGACGGUACCGUAAGAAUAAGCACCGGCUAACUACGUGCCAGCAGCCGCGGUAAUACGUAGGGUGCGAGCGUUAAUCGGAAUUACUGGGCGUAAAGCGUGCGCAGGCGGUUUUGUAAGACAGAGGUGAAAUCCCCGGGCUCAACCUGGGAACUGCCUUUGUGACUGCAAAGCUGGAGUGCGGCAGAGGGGGAUGGAAUUCCGCGUGUAGCAGUGAAAUGCGUAGAUAUGCGGAGGAACACCGAUGGCGAAGGCAAUCCCCUGGGCCUGCACUGACGCUCAUGCACGAAAGCGUGGGGAGCAAACA